This 1481-nucleotide ribosomal RNA is filed under the name Salmonella enterica. RNAcentral's name for it is "partial 23S ribosomal RNA". It matches the Rfam family "Bacterial large subunit ribosomal RNA", at positions 1338 to 2802 of the family's 2925-position model. RNAcentral also lists the same sequence under 1 other name. Lineage: Bacteria; Pseudomonadati; Pseudomonadota; Gammaproteobacteria; Enterobacterales; Enterobacteriaceae. The record is from RNAcentral.
CGGAAGACCAAGGGUUCCUGUCCAACGUUAAUCGGGGCAGGGUGAGUCGACCCCUAAGGCGAGGCCGAAAGGCGUAGUCGAUGGGAAACGGGUUAAUAUUCCCGUACUUGGUGUUACUGCGAAGGGGGGACGGAGAAGGCUAUGUUGGCCGGGCGACGGUUGUCCCGGUUUAAGCGUGUAGGUGUGUGUUCCAGGUAAAUCCGGUUCACUUUAACACUGAGGCGUGAUGACGAGGCACUACGGUGCUGAAGCAACAAAUGCCCUGCUUCCAGGAAAAGCCUCUAAGCAUCAGGUAACAUCAAAUCGUACCCCAAACCGACACAGGUGGUCAGGUAGAGAAUACCAAGGCGCUUGAGAGAACUCGGGUGAAGGAACUAGGCAAAAUGGUGCCGUAACUUCGGGAGAAGGCACGCUGACACGUAGGUGAAGUGAUUUACUCACGGAGCUGAAGUCAGUCGAAGAUACCAGCUGGCUGCAACUGUUUAUUAAAAACACAGCACUGUGCAAACACGAAAGUGGACGUAUACGGUGUGACGCCUGCCCGGUGCCGGAAGGUUAAUUGAUGGGGUCAGCGCAAGCGAAGCUCCUGAUCGAAGCCCCGGUAAACGGCGGCCGUAACUAUAACGGUCCUAAGGUAGCGAAAUUCCUUGUCGGGUAAGUUCCGACCUGCACGAAUGGCGUAAUGAUGGCCAGGCUGUCUCCACCCGAGACUCAGUGAAAUUGAACUCGCUGUGAAGAUGCAGUGUACCCGCGGCAAGACGGAAAGACCCCGUGAACCUUUACUAUAGCUUGACACUGAACAUUGAGCCUUGAUGUGUAGGAUAGGUGGGAGGCUUUGAAGUGUGGACGCCAGUCUGCAUGGAGCCGACCUUGAAAUACCACCCUUUAAUGUUUGAUGUUCUAACGUGGACCCGUGAUCCGGGUUGCGGACAGUGUCUGGUGGGUAGUUUGACUGGGGCGGUCUCCUCCUAAAGAGUAACGGAGGAGCACGAAGGUUGGCUAAUCCUGGUCGGACAUCAGGAGGUUAGUGCAAUGGCAUAAGCCAGCUUGACUGCGAGCGUGACGGCGCGAGCAGGUGCGAAAGCAGGUCAUAGUGAUCCGGUGGUUCUGAAUGGAAGGGCCAUCGCUCAACGGAUAAAAGGUACUCCGGGGAUAACAGGCUGAUACCGCCCAAGAGUUCAUAUCGACGGCGGUGUUUGGCACCUCGAUGUCGGCUCAUCACAUCCUGGGGCUGAAGUAGGUCCCAAGGGUAUGGCUGUUCGCCAUUUAAAGUGGUACGCGAGCUGGGUUUAGAACGUCGUGAGACAGUUCGGUCCCUAUCUGCCGUGGGCGCUGGAGAACUGAGGGGGGCUGCUCCUAGUACGAGAGGACCGGAGUGGACGCAUCACUGGUGUUCGGGUUGUCAUGCCAAUGGCACUGCCCGGUAGCUAAAUGCGGAAGAGAUAAGUGCUGAAAGCAUCUAAGCACGAAACUUGCCCCGA